Molecule: small nuclear RNA, 105 nt
Organism: Suncus etruscus (white-toothed pygmy shrew)
Lineage: Eukaryota; Metazoa; Chordata; Mammalia; Eulipotyphla; Soricidae
Source: RefSeq, a predicted model, not a curated record
CCAUAUUAGAAAUAAGUAUAAGUUAAAAUUGGAAUGAUACAGAGAAGAUUAGCAUGACCCCUGCACAAGGUUGACAUGCAAAUUCAUGAAACAUUCAUAUUAAAA